UACGGAGGGAGCUAGCGUUGUUCGGAAUUACUGGGCGUAAAGCGCACGUAGGCGGCUUUGUAAGUUAGAGGUGAAAGCCCGGGGCUCAACUCCGGAACUGCCUUUAAGACUGCAUCGCUUGAAUCCAGGAGAGGUGAGUGGAAUUCCGAGUGUAGAGGUGAAAUUCGUAGAUAUUCGGAAGAACACCAGUGGCGAAGGCGGCUGACUGGACAUGUAUUGACGCUGAGGUGCGAAAGCGUGGGGAGCGAACAGG
This 253-nucleotide ribosomal RNA is filed under the name uncultured bacterium. RNAcentral's name for it is "partial 16S ribosomal RNA". It matches the Rfam family "Bacterial small subunit ribosomal RNA", at positions 524 to 776 of the family's 1533-position model. The record is from RNAcentral.